Molecule: ribosomal RNA, 491 nt
Filed under: uncultured bacterium
Lineage: Bacteria
Description: partial 16S ribosomal RNA
Rfam family: Bacterial small subunit ribosomal RNA
Source: RNAcentral
AGUGAACGCUGGCGUUGGGCUUACCACAUGCAAUUCGAACGGAACACCCUUAGUACUUUCCUCUUCGGGUGGGGAGUUGGGGUCCGUUGCAGGAUAACACCGAAACCUCUUUUUUGGUGGGGGUUCCGUAAGGUAACUUUACUCUCUUCCCCCUUCUCCCCUCGGUUUACAGGAUGGGAACUUUUUACCCUGCCGGGUUUUAUGUCCCUAUGUUGUAUUUGCUAGUUUGCGGGGUAAAGGCCCACCAAGGUGACGAUCCGUACAUGGUCUGAGAGGAUGAUAAGCAACACUGGAACUGAGAAACGGUCAAGACUACUAAGAGAGGGAGCAGUGGGGAAUAUUGGACAAUGGGGGCAAGCCUGAUCCAGCCAUACCGCGUGGGUGAAGAAGGCCUUCGGGUUGUAAAGACCUUUUGUUGGGAAAGAAAAGCAGCAGGUUAAUACCCCGCUGUUCUGACGGUACCCAAAGAAUAAGCACCGGCUAACUUCGUG